RNAcentral lists this long non-coding RNA (1981 nucleotides) under Homo sapiens (human). RNAcentral's name for it is "HSALNT0315798". Lineage: Eukaryota; Metazoa; Chordata; Mammalia; Primates; Hominidae. The record is from RNAcentral.
GCGAAAUUGGUUAUGUCACUUUAUUUUAUAACUAUUUUGUCCACAUUUUCCUUUUUCUAAGGAAUGAAUAUUUACUUGAAAGGCCCACAGACAUUAUUUAGUUAUCUUUACCAUGCAUUUGUUUCUUUUAAUAUGGCACCAUGUGGAAGUGUAGUUUUGCUCAACUCAUACGUGUGUGAAAGAAAGCAUAGUGAAUAUGACUAAGUGCAUAGGCCCAGGAACCAGAUGACCUGGGUUUAAAUCCCAGCUCUUACUGUGACCCUCAGGCAAGUGCCUUCUUUUAACUCAGUUUCCUCAUCUGUAAAACAGGAAUUUCAUUGUUUAAAAUUGUGGGGUCCAAUUAUUCUGAGGUUAAUAGUAAAGCAGUAUUUUUCAGGUGCCCUGGCACAAAAGGGCUGGAAGUGCAAAAAGAAAGACAAAUGGGACUGGAGCAAUAAAAUGGAAGAUGAAGGGGUGAUAUCCAGAGAUCAGAAAUUGGAGAUGCCCCUGGGCUGGCUGCUGCACCAUUGGAGGCACUGUUAGAGUCAAGCUUGGAUCUGCUGAAGAGGUGUCACUCAGCCAAAGGGUGCUGCCUCUGCCCUAGCUGGUCAUCUGGAUUCACUUCAUUCACAUAGCAGCAAGAGUAUCUGCCACCAACUACCAUACAUUUGGAGUCAAGAGCCUUUCUCUUUUUUUUUUCAGCCUUCUCAGUUCCUUUCAGUGCCUAACAAGAGAAGCAAGAGAGCCUGGAAAUGUAGUUUGAUACCUCCCAGCCCUAGAUGUUCACAGUAUAGAAGGAGAGACUGUGACUUCUGUCUUGCUCGCCAUUUCUCAUUCUCUCUUUUUGGAGCUCUUGCUCUGGAGGAAGUGAGCUGCCAUGUUAUAAACUGCCCUAUGAAGAGGUCCAUGUGACAAGGAACUGAUGUCCCUGGCCAACAGCCAGUGAGGCCCUAAGGCCUGCAACACUCUGUGAGUGAGCCUGGAAAUGAAUCUUCUGAGCCUACCAACAACCACACUGAUCCUUAAAAUGGCUAUAGCUCCAGGUCCUUGAUUGCAGUCUUUCAAAAGACUGUGAUUCAGGGCAUUCAGGAAAGUCAUGUUUGAAUUUUUGACCCACGGAAACUUUGAGAUAAUAAGUGUUGUUUUAUUAUUUAUUUUUAAGCCACCAAAUCGGGGAGUAAUUUGUUACACAGAAAUAGAAAGUACAUCCAGGAAUGUGACUGUUGGGUUGUAGGAUGCAUAUGUAGGGGGAAAAUAACUCCCAUACGUUUGUAAUCGGAAAAGAUCCCCGUUACAAAAGACAGAUUAACAAGAGAAAAACAAGUUUAUUAACGUGUAUUUCAUAUGUACAAGGGAGAUAUCAAUGAUUAGUUCUCAAAGAAGUAGCUUUGAAUUCUAGCUUUUAUUUUAUUUUCAACAAAGAAGAGUAAAUUUUUAGAGAAGUGACAGCACAAAGGAAAAGGACUUGGAGUCUCUACAAGCAGCAACUUGUGGGGAAGGCAAACAAAUGGCAGAUAAAGGAUGGUAAAGGAGGUGGUGUUACAUUUCUGUACUGCUGGUGCAUUGAGAGACCCAAGCAAGUAUCAGGCUUUUCAUCCGUGGAACACAUGCUCCAGAACCUUCUAGCUGUUCACUUGUGAUGGAUACUCUGUUAGCCUUCACUAUUGAAUGCACUUUUAAAAAUGAUCAAAACCAACAUUUCCCACAGUAUGAAAUGUUUGCAAAAAAGGCAUUGGCUUCAGGAAGGCUCUGUUAAAAGAGAACCAUCCUCCAUGAGACAAGACCUGUCCUUUCCAUGGGAGAGGCAGUCAUUGACAAGUGUCCUCCAACACAUUUUCCCAGUUUAUCAUAUUGGCACUGAAGGAACACUCAGGAUUACAUGCUUUGGGUGUGGACGCCAAGAAGUGACAAAAAAAGGAAGUUGGGAUCAUUACGGUUAACCCAAGCAUGUUGGAAACCAGAGAGAGGCUGAGUGCUAUCAUACACAGACCCAUGAAUCGGA